This 1137-nucleotide ribosomal RNA is filed under the name uncultured fungus. Its description in RNAcentral is "eukaryotic LSU rRNA". The stretch from base 508 to 1137 matches the Rfam family "Eukaryotic large subunit ribosomal RNA", at positions 1 to 649 of the family's 3401-position model. The record is from RNAcentral. Lineage: Eukaryota; Fungi.
AAGUCGUAACAAGGUUUCCGUAGGUGAACCUGCGGAAGGAUCAUUACAGAGAACAUGCCCCCCGGGGUAGAUCUCCCACCCUUUGUUUACCUUACAUUGUUGCUUUGGCGGGCCCGUCUAACGACCGCCGGCCACUGCUGGUCAGUGCCCGCCAGAGAACCUUAAAUUCUAGUUAAUGUUGUCUGAGCAUCAUAUAAUAUAUUAAAACUUUCAACAACGGAUCUCUUGGUUCUGGCAUCGAUGAAGAACGCAGCGAAAUGCGAUAAGUAAUGUGAAUUGCAGAAUUCAGUGAAUCAUCGAAUCUUUGAACGCACAUUGCACCCUCUGGUAUUCCGGGGGGUAUGCCUGUUCGAGCGUCAUUACAACCCUCAAGCUUUGCUUGGUAUUGGAUGGAAUGCUUCAUUCAUCUCAAAAUUAGUGGCGGUGCCAUUCAGCUUCCAGCGUAGUAUCAUCCUCGCUGUGGAAACCUGGGUGUGCCUUUGCCAGCAACCCUCAGUUUUUAAAGGUUGACCUCGGAUCAGGUAGGGAUACCCGCUGAACUUAAGCAUAUCAAUAAGCGGAGGAAAAGAAACCAACAGGGAUUGCCUCAGUAACGGCGAGUGAAGCGGCAACAGCUCAAAUUUGAAAUCUGGCCAUAUGGUCCGAGUUGUAAUUUGUAGAGGAUGCUUCGAACGUGGUCUGGUCUAAGUUCCUUGGAACAGGACGUCAUAGAGGGUGAGAAUCCCGUAUGCGACUAGGUCCCUUAGUUCAUGUGAAGCUCCUUCGACGAGUCGAGUUGUUUGGGAAUGCAGCUCAAAAUGGGUGGUAUAUUUCAUCUAAAGCUAAAUAUUGGCCAGAGACCGAUAGCGCACGAGUAGAGUGAUCGAAAGAUGAAAAGCACUUUGGAAAGAGAGUUAAACAGUACGUGAAAUUGUUGAAAGGGAAGCGCUUGCAACCAGACUUGCAUGCAGUUGAUCAUCCGAUGUUCUCACCGGUGCACUCGAUUGUAUUCAGGCCAGCAUCGGUUUUGGUGGUUGGAUAAAGGCCUGGGGAAUGUAGCUUCUUUCGGGGAGUGUUAUAGCCCUAGGUGCAAUGCAGCCUACUGGGACCGAGGACCGCGCUUCGGCUAGGAUGCUGGCGUAAUGGUUGUAAGCGACC